RNAcentral lists this ribosomal RNA (432 nucleotides) under uncultured bacterium. RNAcentral describes it as "partial 16S ribosomal RNA". It matches the Rfam family "Bacterial small subunit ribosomal RNA", at positions 338 to 795 of the family's 1533-position model. The record is from RNAcentral.
CCUACGGGUGGCAGCAGUCGAGAAUUUUUCUCAAUGGGGGAAACCCUGAAGGAGCGACGCCGCGUGGAGGAUGAAGGUCUUCGGGUUGUAAACUCCUGUCAUUUGGGAACUAGUACCAGAAGAGGAAGAGACGGCUAACUCUGUGCCAGCAGCCGCGGUAAUACAGAGGUCUCAAGCGUUGUUCGGAUUCAUUGGGCGUAAAGGGUGCGUAGGUGGCGCCGUAAGUCGGGUGUGAAAUUUCGAGGCUUAACCUCGAAACUGCAUUCGAUACUGCGGUGCUUGAGGACUGGAGAGGAGACUGGAAUUCAUGGUGUAGCAGUGAAAUGCGUAGAGAUCAUGAGGAAGACCAGUGGCGAAGGCGGGUCUCUGGACAGUCCUGACACUGAGGCACGAAGGCCAGGGGAGCAAACGGGAUUAGAUACCCUUGUAGUC